UUAAGCAUAUAUUUUGACUCCAUUAAAGGGGAACUAUGCAGUUUUUUUUUUUUUUGUAGCUUAAUUUACCUUAACUGAACAGCUUUGGAGUCUUUGGAAUGGUUAUGUGACUUUUUUGGAUUGAAUGGUGGUCGUCUCGCUCCCCACUAUCGUCUGUGAGCGGGAAACCCCGCCUUGCAACUUUGGGCCGGCGAGUAGUCGGCCGAAUUGUCAGGAAGUAUUGGGUGAUAUCAGGUCUCGCGCUGUAACGAAUAGCUUCAUGGCACUGCAAACAUACGCCCAUUCAGGUACCGGCUAACAAGGUAGCGAUGGAGUUUUUCACAUUAUCGUCAUGGCUGAGCCGGC
This is a long non-coding RNA of Etheostoma spectabile (orangethroat darter), 345 nucleotides long. RefSeq lists it as uncharacterized. NCBI's taxonomy places the organism in Eukaryota, Metazoa, Chordata, Actinopteri, Perciformes, Percidae. The transcript has 2 exons. The record is from RefSeq and is a predicted model, not a curated record.